Molecule: ribosomal RNA, 253 nt
Filed under: uncultured bacterium
Lineage: Bacteria
Description: partial 16S ribosomal RNA
Rfam family: Bacterial small subunit ribosomal RNA
Source: RNAcentral
UACGUAGGGUGCAAGCGUUGUCCAGAAUUACUGGGCGUAAAGCGCACGUAGGCGGAUUUGUAAGUCAGGGGUGAAAUCCCGGGGCUCAACCUCGGAACUGCCUUUGAUACUGCAAAUCUCGAGUCCGGAAGAGGUGAGUGGAAUUCCUAGUGUAGAGGUGAAAUUCGUAGAUAUUAGGAAGAACACCAGUGGCGAAGGCGGCUCACUGGUCCGGUACUGACGCUGAGGUGCGAAAGCGUGGGGAGCGAACAGG